GAUGAACGCUAGCGACAGGCUUAACACAUGCAAGUCGAGGGGCAGCGGUGGUGAAGGCUUGCCUUUACCAGCCGGCGACCGGCGCACGGGUGAGUAACACGUAUGCAACCUGCCUGCCACAGCCGGAUAAUCGGGAGAAAUUCCGUCUAAUACGGCAUAAUGCAUCGACGGGACAUCCUGUUGGUGCCAAAGGUUGAUUCCGGUGGCGGAUGGGCAUGCGUCGCAUUAGUUAGUUGGCGGUGUAACGGACCACCAAGACGACGAUGCGUAGGGGUUCUGAGAGGAAGGUCCCCCACACUGGUACUGAGACACGGACCAG
Molecule: ribosomal RNA, 319 nt
Filed under: uncultured bacterium
Lineage: Bacteria
Description: bacterial SSU rRNA
Rfam family: Bacterial small subunit ribosomal RNA
Source: RNAcentral